GGUGUCUGUAAGUAUAACAAAACUCAUAUUGCAGGCAAAAACCUGUGAAAAAUAGAUUUAAAAAAAAUGUGAAUUUUGUGACUGUACUAUUUAGUGUCAUUGUUUUAUAGAUACCAUAGUGAGAAAGGAUUCAUUUCGCAACACCUACGGCUUCCACUAGAUGUCAACGAUCUUUAUAAAGUUGUUUGAAGCGUCUAUGAUAAACAGAGAGCAAAUUAGAAUGCAGGGAAGUUGACAUGUCAUGACUUCAUUUUUUUGCGCCUGCGCAUAAAUCUGAGAAGCGUGAGUUUGUCAUUAAUUGUUUAUCAAGACAUAGGAUAGGUUGUGUGAAAAUAUUACUGAUGUUUAACGUUAAAAAUGGACCAAAAGAUUAAUGCUAAACAAGGUUUGACAUGUUUGAACGAACGUAAAUAGAUUAUUUACUAGGUUUUUUUAGCUUUUCGGCGUGAUUUUACAACCCCCCCCACCACGUUUUGUGGGAGCAUAAUGAACGCUAACUGCUUGGUGUUAUUUGGACAUAAAUUAUGAACUUUGUCAAAAGAAACCACAUUUGUUCCGGACCUGGGAAAUCCUGGCAGUGCCUUCUGAUGGAGAUAAUCAAAGACGCCACAGCCACGUUGAUGUCCAAAAGUAGAAUGGGGGCUAAUGACUGUUUCGUUCGGCAUUGAGGAGUACAUCACAUCAGUCACUGGCUUUAUCAAUAAGUGCAUCGAGGACGUCGUCCCCACAGUGGCUGUACGUAUAUACCCCAACCAGAAGCUAUGGAUUACAGGCAACAUUCGCACUGAGCUAAAGGGUAGAGCUGCCACUUUCAAGGUGCGGGACUCUAAUCCGGAAGCUUACAAGAAAUCCUGCUAUGCCCUGCGAUGAACCAUCAAACAGGCAAAGCGUCAAUACAGGGCUAAGAUUGAAUCAUACUACACCGGCUCCGACGCUCGUGUUAUAUGGCAGGGUUUGCAAACUAUUACAUACUACAAAGGGAAGCAAAGCCGCGAGCUGCCCAGUGACACGAACCUACCAGACGAGCUAAAUCACUUCUAUGCUCGCAUCGAGGCAAGC
This 1059-nucleotide long non-coding RNA is filed under the name Salmo salar (Atlantic salmon). Its description in RNAcentral is "lncRNA (ENSSSAG00000088549.1)". Lineage: Eukaryota; Metazoa; Chordata; Actinopteri; Salmoniformes; Salmonidae. The record is from RNAcentral.